AUUAGGGUUAGGGUUUAGUUUUAUGUUAGGAUAGUUUUUUCUACGUUAUAUGACGUCAAUGCAACAGCCAGUUUAUGCACCUCGGUCAGCGUCAGCAACGCCACAAGGAUCCCAACAGGUCCCAUUACCUACCGCUGUCGAUCCUCCAGUAGGAACAUUUGUUAGUCUUUUGCAGUGUUGUCCUCCUUUAGUUCGCACCUGUUUUGGGUGUUCCCAAUCGUUAAAACUCGGCGGGAUUAUCGCAAGUCCACCGUAUGAUUUGACGAUUAUUACACGUAUGAAUAGAGGUUUUCCUAACCCUAAUACUCCUGAUGGACAGUUGAUGUUCAAAGAACAAAAUGUAUAUUUCCAUGUAUAAAUUUGAGUUGCCUCAAGAUGAAGCAGCCAUAUUUUAACCCUGCCUGCGUAACUGUACCAAAUUGGCUGCCAUAUUAUUUAACACCAGAACAUUUGCGCUUUUGACGAGAGUGCUCAAAUUUGACGUGGCAUGAUGUCGAUAUUGUUUUGUUUUUUAGUUUGUUCAGUUAGUUUGUUCAAUUCUACACGGCCAAAAACGCUGAGCCUGCUGUACUGCCUGUACUGUACUGUACUGUCUGUACAACAGGUUGCAAUAAUAUUAUGCUGACCUGUUUUUUACAGUUAACAACAUUGAACAAUAUUAUUCAUCUUGAAUGGGGUGCAACAAUGCUGAACAAUAUUGUUAACAUUCGUGAACAAUAGGCGUAGCACAUUAUUGUUGCAACCUGAUUUAUCAACAUUGCAACUACAAGUUCAUGAUUUUUACGCAUGUAGGCAGGAGAAGAAAAAUAUUUUUUUCCGAUUUAGACAGGUGUCCUGACAAUUCCCGGGAAAUUCCUGUGACACCGGUUUUACACCCAAAAUACCAGCCAUAUGGCAGUGUGAAGAUAGUAUGCUAUCACAAAAAGUUGAGUUCGAAGUUAUAUGGAGAAAAUUGUAGAUUACAUUAUUAAUAAAAGAUAAACUGUCAGAUUAUAUUCGUUCUUCGAAAAUUUGUGAUUGUCAUUUUACCGGGAACUUCUUUCUUAUAUUUAUUCAGUUUUAUAGGCAAAUUACAUGUGUUCGCAAUGGUCUAGCAAACAACUAAUUCGAUUAAAUUUGCCCAUUUCAGAGUUUUACCCCCAUUUCAGCGUUCUACCCCCAUUUCAGCGCUUUAUCCCCAUUUCAGCGUUUUACCCCCAUUUCAGCGUUUUACCCCCAUUUCAGCGCAUUUAAUUUCAGCGUUUUACCCCCAUUUCAGCGUUUUACCCCCAUUUCAGCGUUUUACCCCCGCUUUCAGUUUCCGUUUCCGCGAUUCAGUUUCAGCGUUUUAUCCCUACCCGGAAAAUACCGCACUCGUAUUUAAAUUAUUCUGCAUGUCAUAUCUCUAGUCUAUGCAUAUUUAUAAUUGCAUGUUUUUACUGUAUGUAUCGAGUUCAGUAUAAAUAACGUGUUUAUUUUUUUGCAUAAUAAAUUUUUAAAAUUGAACGGAAACAAACGCAUAG
Molecule: non-coding RNA, 1502 nt
Organism: Paramuricea clavata
Lineage: Eukaryota; Metazoa; Cnidaria; Anthozoa; Malacalcyonacea; Plexauridae
Source: the annotation of a GenBank genome assembly